This 253-nucleotide ribosomal RNA is filed under the name uncultured bacterium. Its description in RNAcentral is "partial 16S ribosomal RNA". It matches the Rfam family "Bacterial small subunit ribosomal RNA", at positions 524 to 776 of the family's 1533-position model. The record is from RNAcentral.
UACGGAGGGUGCGAGCGUUGUCCGGAAUCAUUGGGCGUAAAGGGCUCGUAGGCGGUCCAUCGCGUCGGGAGUGAAACGCUGGGGCUUAACCCCAGUCCUGCUUUCGAUACGGGUGGACUAGAGGUAGGCAGGGGAGAAUGGAAUUCCUGGUGUAGCGGUGAAAUGCGCAGAUAUCAGGAGGAACACCGGUGGCGAAGGCGGUUCUCUGGGCCUAAUCUGACGCUGAGGAGCGAAAGCGUGGGGAGCAAACAGG